CAGGCAGGCGGUUUGUUAAGUCUUCUGUGAAACUCCGGGGCUCAACUCCGGACUUGCAGAAGAUACUGGCAGACUAGAGAGUGGUAGAGGCAAGCGGAAUUCCUGGUGUAGCGGUGGAAUGCGUAGAUAUCAGGAAGAACACCUGUGGCGAAGGCGGCUUGCUGGGCCAUCUCUGACGCUCAUCUGCGAAAGCGUGGGGAGCAAACA
This 207-nucleotide ribosomal RNA is filed under the name uncultured bacterium. RNAcentral's name for it is "partial 16S ribosomal RNA". It matches the Rfam family "Bacterial small subunit ribosomal RNA", at positions 568 to 774 of the family's 1533-position model. The record is from RNAcentral.